RNAcentral lists this ribosomal RNA (535 nucleotides) under Lophocheilus annilatus. RNAcentral describes it as "partial 16S ribosomal RNA". It matches the Rfam family "Bacterial large subunit ribosomal RNA", at positions 1808 to 2612 of the family's 2925-position model. The record is from RNAcentral. Lineage: Eukaryota; Metazoa; Arthropoda; Insecta; Hymenoptera; Thynnidae.
CAAAAACAUGGUUUUUUGAAUUAUAAUUUAAGAUUGGUUCUGCUCACUGAAAUUAUUUUUAAAGAGCUGCAGUAUCUUGACUGUGCAAAGGUAGCAAAAUCAUUUGUUUUUUAAUUGUGAACUGGAAUGAAAGAUCUGAUGAAAUAUAUACUGUCUCUACUUAAUUUAUAGAAUUUAAAUUUUAAGUUAAAAUGCUUAAAUUAAAUUAUUAGACGAGAAGACCCUAUAGAAUUUGAUACACUUAAUUGAUUUUCUUGUUUGAAAAAAUUGUUAAGAGGUUAAUUAUGAGUAUUUGAUUGGGAGGAUUAUUAAAUUUUAUUAACUUUAAUUUUGAAAUUAAACAUUGAUUUUUGGGUUUAUGAUUUUAAAAUGAUUAGAAGAUAGAAUUACCUUAGGGAUAACAGCGUAAUGUUUUUGGAGAGUUCUUAUUAAUAAAAAUGUUUGCGACCUCGAUGUUGAAUUAAGAUAAAAAUUAAAUGCAGAAGUUUAAUAUUUAAGUCUGUUCGACUUUUAAAAUCUUACGUGAUCUGAGUUC